UUAAAGAAGCGUUUUCGGUGGCAGCCUGGGUAUAAAUCCUUUGGAAUAGGGUAUCAUAGAGGGUGAGAAUCCCGUCUUUGACCUAGUGCAUGCUACUAUGUGAUACGUUUUCAAAGAGUCGAGUUGUUUGGGAAUGCAGCUCAAAAUGGGUGGUAAAUUUCAUCUAAAGCUAAAUAUUGGCGAGAGACCGAUAGCGAACAAGUACCGUGAGGGAAAGAUGAAAAGAACUUUGAAAAGAGAGUUAAACAGUGCGUGAAAUUGUUGAAAGGGAAACGUUUGACACCAGUCAUGUGGGUGGAAAAUCAGUCUUUUGCAUUGGGGAGUUGUAAGGGUUCGGACCGCANGGCCGGCUUUUGCUUCAUCUUUGGUGUAAGUGAUGCACUUUUUCAUCUACAGGUCAACAUCAGUUUCUUUUGCUGGACAAAACUCCUAGAGAAGGUAGCAGCUUANGCUGUGUUAUAGCUCUGGAGCGAUACAGUGAAGGGGACUGAGGUUUUCNCANCGUGUGCUCUCGGGCAAGGCUGGAUGGGUGCUAUGGGAUCGUUCGGGGUACAAUGCCUGGCAUUUUGCUUCGUGUCUUUUCUAUACUCGCUCAACUCA
RNAcentral lists this ribosomal RNA (600 nucleotides) under soil fungal sp. DM100. RNAcentral describes it as "eukaryotic LSU rRNA". It matches the Rfam family "Eukaryotic large subunit ribosomal RNA", at positions 150 to 620 of the family's 3401-position model. The record is from RNAcentral. Lineage: Eukaryota; Fungi.